This 456-nucleotide ribosomal RNA is filed under the name uncultured Sphingobacteriales bacterium. RNAcentral's name for it is "bacterial SSU rRNA". It matches the Rfam family "Bacterial small subunit ribosomal RNA", at positions 925 to 1382 of the family's 1533-position model. The record is from RNAcentral. Lineage: Bacteria; Pseudomonadati; Bacteroidota; Sphingobacteriia; Sphingobacteriales.
ACAAGCGGUGGAGCAUGUGGUUUAAUUCGAAGCAACGCGAAGAACCUUACCAGGUCUUGACAUCCCGAUGCUAUUUCUAGAGAUAGAAAUUCCCUUCGGGGCUUUCUGCAAGGUGCUGCAUGGUUGUCGUCAGCUCGUGCCGUGAGGUGUCGGGUUAAGUCCCAUAACGAGCGCAACCCUUAUCGUUAGUUGCCAUCUGGUAAUGCAGGGGACUCUAGCGAAACUGCCACCGUAAGGUGAGAGGAAGUGGGGAUGACGUCAAAUCAGCACGGCCCUUAUGUCCAGGGCUACACACGUGUUACAAUGGUCGGUACAGAGGGCAGCUACCUGGUGACAGGAUGCUAAUCUCGAAAACCGGUCUCAGUUCGGAUCGAAGUCUGCAACUCGACUUCGUGAAGCUGGAUUCGCUAGUAAUCGCGCAUCAGCUAUGGCGCGGUGAAUACGUUCCCGGGCCUU